ACUCUAGUUUGACAUAGUGAAGGGAUGUGGAGGGCGUGGUAUAGGUGGAAGCUUCGGAUCCCAUGAAAUACUCCCACCCCUUUUAUUUUACUCACAGGGUGAAGGUUUACCAGUCAAAAGACUACCUUCAAAUAUUUCAUUUGAUCAGCUCUAGACAUCGCCUAAUGGGGAGU
This 173-nucleotide non-coding RNA is filed under the name Metschnikowia bicuspidata var. bicuspidata NRRL YB-4993. The record is from Rfam by way of RNAcentral. Lineage: Eukaryota; Fungi; Ascomycota; Pichiomycetes; Serinales; Metschnikowiaceae.